This 95-nucleotide transfer RNA is filed under the name Streptomyces griseorubens. Its description in RNAcentral is "tRNA-Val". The record is from RNAcentral. Lineage: Bacteria; Bacillati; Actinomycetota; Actinomycetes; Kitasatosporales; Streptomycetaceae.
GCCAGCACGAGGGCCUGGGCCGCGGCGGCGCCGACGUCGUAGCGGGCGGUGAGGAAGUCGUAGACCCGGACGGCCGCGACGUCCGUGCCGGCGCC